RNAcentral lists this ribosomal RNA (203 nucleotides) under Campylobacter coli. Its description in RNAcentral is "partial 16S ribosomal RNA". It matches the Rfam family "Bacterial small subunit ribosomal RNA", at positions 1330 to 1533 of the family's 1533-position model. The record is from RNAcentral. Lineage: Bacteria; Pseudomonadati; Campylobacterota; Epsilonproteobacteria; Campylobacterales; Campylobacteraceae.
AAUCGCUAGUAAUCGUAGAUCAGCCAUGCUACGGUGAAUACGUUCCCGGGUCUUGUACUCACCGCCCGUCACACCAUGGGAGUUGAUUUCACUCGAAGCCGGAAUACUAAACUAGUUACCGUCCACAGUGGAAUCAGCGACUGGGGUGAAGUCGUAACAAGGUAACCGUAGGAGAACCUGCGGUUGGAUCACCUCCUUUCUAG